Molecule: unclassified non-coding RNA, 474 nt
Filed under: Hevea brasiliensis (rubber tree)
Lineage: Eukaryota; Viridiplantae; Streptophyta; Magnoliopsida; Malpighiales; Euphorbiaceae
Source: RNAcentral
AUAUUAUUAUAUUUAAUAAAUUUAUGCGUGUUGAAUAUACUUUAAAAAUAAAUAAUAAAAUAUGCUUAUCCACUAAAAUUUCAUAACCAUCUUUUUUCUUUAUUUUUUUUAACUUUUGUUUGUUUUCAUAUUUACAUAUCACAAUUUUUUUUUUUCCUUUUCUCAUCACUCUUUUCUUUUUAUUAUUUUUUCUCCCAUCCUUUACUAAUUGAGUCUUUUUUUUUUCAUUUUUAUAACAAUAAAACUGAUGAACAAACUAAAUUUCAUAAGUUCAAUUUUUUAUUUUUAAUUAAUAAUUCAUAUUUUAUUAUUUUAUUAGUAAUAAGAAUUAAGUUUUUUUUCUAAUUAUUCAUACAUAUUUUAAAUGUAAGUAAACUUUACUUAUUUAAUUUUACAAUCAAUUAAAAAAUUAAUAUUUGUUGAUUUUUUUAAACUAGCAAAUCAAAUUAAAUACGUAAAGUUUACUUACAUUUA